UAGUUAAUAUUUAUCGUACUCGUGCAAAUGUUACGUGUCAGGUACUUCCUGAAGGACAAUCUCAGCUUAUGUAACACGUAUAAGCGAUUAGGUAUGACGCGCUUGAUAUGCGAUCUUCAUGUACGUAUAUAAUAAUGUAACGUAAACCAUCAGCAAUAUAUGGAAUCGCGUAGAUCCAGAAGAUAAUCUGGCAUCCCAGCCGUUAAAUAUACGCCUACGACUUCUUAUGUUAUACCGCAAACGGAGAAGGAUUUUCCCCCUGGCCGGUGCGAGACUCGUUUGCGAAGAUUACGCGGAGCAGGCGACAAACAGUCGUUGAGCCGGUUCGGAAGACCGGGCUUGUGACAGUGUCUCGCAGGUCCCAGGCACUCUAGGAUUGAGGAGGAAUGCGACCUUGACGCCGCAAGUUUAAAGGAUGUUUAUGUGGGGACGAGUAGACUGCCGAUGUACCUACUCCUCAAUUCCUUACUACGCGUGUUAUACACGGCUGUUACAUUUGUCCGACCCUGUAUAUCCUCCAGAAUCCGGGCUCGGUUGUAUCCUUGAGGACGAGAAAGAGCAGCUGUACCUUCUACGACGAACGAUUCGCCACACACGCUGACGUCACCGAGGAACGCGUCACGUCGCCGUCGGUCCCUUUAUUGGCCUUAUUGUGGAGUCGACGAGAAAGAGGGAAGAAAAUAAUAAGGAGCCAUGUAGGGGGAGACAAAGGUGGCGAGAUUCUCGAGGGACCGGUCCUACUGCAGGUUCGCGUCGAAGAACAUCCCUCCUGUACUCCCGCUGCCUGUGCCACGGACAUAUAUUUGGGAAGAAACUCUCUCGAGCGAGUGAGCGAGCGAGCUACGGACGGACUUGCUGACGAUGAGCCUACAAAGGAGAGUUAGUCGGACAGAGAGUCAAGAACCGCCGGACAAAGAUGCCCCUCGCUAUGCCACCUCGUCCUGUGCCUACGAAGAGACGUCGUUCCGAAAUUUCACUUUCACUUUGGUCAAGUCACUUGCAGGUUCGGCUUCGAAGCCAUCCCACGAGAGCUGAGAAAACAAAUACGGUUUACGUGGGGGACCGAAUCGUUAAAACGAAAAAGAAGACAAAAGUAGUCGGAACGUCGAAGGUUAGCAAGAAUUAAUGAAUUCUUGGUAAUGUUUUUCGUCGCCGUAUUUGCCAGACUUCGAAAACAAUUUCGAUGUACGAAUCCUCGACCUCUAUGGCAUUAAUAUGCCUAUAGGUUUAACGUGUAAAUAAUAAUCAUUAAAAGUAAAUUCUUGAGCUGGGAUGAGCGAGAAAAAUGAAUUUCUCAGUAUGAGCGCACAAGUAUGAUCGCAAGCAUCGCGCGAAAGCAUAGCUCGAAAUAGCCGAUGAAUCGAUUCUCAGCGUUCUCCAGGUAUCCGGUCCGCGGUCUGGUCGCGGUCCUUCGAGCGACCUUGGCGAAUCGCAGGAGAGUCGUAGGUUUAGCGUGUUGCGGUGCGGGUUUCGCUCGCCGACGCAACCGUAGAGCCACUAUCGGCAGGAUUGUACAUGCACACAUCCGAGAUACGCUUUAAGGAGAGAAGUCAAACGAGUUUCAGCGUGGGUAGUUUUCACCACACGACUCCAACACCACGCGCCAUUUACGGAGAGAGACGACCAGGAGAAUUUUUUAGUUGUCAAAAAUUUAGCGCCUCUCGCUUAUACGACAUUGCGAAUUUAUUCUGUCUCGUUAGGUAUCACAAAGCUUUGUAACUCUCACGCGUUCACCAAAUGGUAUUUUUAUCGGCUCUGGCGGCAACUUUUACUUUUGUAAUUCGGCCGAGUCAAGACUCCGAUCAGGUGAUUGCCAACUCAUUGUCAGCUACGGCUGCGCAGCCCACGACGAAGGCUCAGGGCCGAUUUCAUCGCUAGACA
This 1881-nucleotide long non-coding RNA is filed under the name Neodiprion lecontei (redheaded pine sawfly). RNAcentral describes it as "uncharacterized LOC124294037, transcript variant X3". The record is from RNAcentral. Lineage: Eukaryota; Metazoa; Arthropoda; Insecta; Hymenoptera; Diprionidae.